Molecule: ribosomal RNA, 253 nt
Filed under: uncultured bacterium
Lineage: Bacteria
Description: partial 16S ribosomal RNA
Rfam family: Bacterial small subunit ribosomal RNA
Source: RNAcentral
UACAGAGGUCCCAAGCGUUGUUCGGAUUCAUUGGGCGUAAAGGGUGCGUAGGUGGCGCGCUAAGUCAGGUGUGAAAUUUCGGAGCUUAACUCCGAAACUGCAUUUGAUACUGGCGUGCUUGAGGACUGGAGAGGAGACUGGAAUUUACGGUGUAGCAGUGAAAUGCGUAGAGAUCGUAAGGAAGACCAGUGGCGAAGGCGGGUCUCUGGACAGUCCCUGACACUGAGGCACGAAGGCCAGGGGAGCAAACGGG